GUAAUCUGGAUAUAAAAUAAUUUUUAUUUCAAGGCUGCUUCAUAAUAUUAAUUUUAGGAAAAAUUUAAGUGACAAAGAUAUGAUUUUAAUUAAAAAUUCACCACAGUGUGUUGCUAAUGCUGAGUUCUUAAUUGGUGACAAUUGGAUGACCAUGAGCUAAAUUCGCAAAAGCUGAGUUAUUAGCAACUUGUUAUGAACUUAUCGUCUCCCUGGUGGCUGCCAGAUUUCAUCUGAUACUGAUUGUAAGAUACAUCCAGAUUUGCAAACACCCAAAUAUAAAAAAGGAUAUUUUAAAAUAGACAACAUAAUUUUUAAAAAUAACACUUUAAGUUUUACAUUUCUAAUCAGUAUACUUUUCAAGAAUAUUAAAAUAAUUAGUUGGAUUCAUCUGAACAGAAUUGUCUGCAUGUAAGGAAAAGUAAAGUUUCUGAAUUAAUGGAGCUCCUAUUAACAUCACACAUAUAAGUGUACGUAAACAAUUAGUAUAUUCUUAAUAACCAUUCUCUUCCCUAAUUAAAAGUAUAAGCUAAUAACUAGGCUUAAUCUCUUUUUCCCAAAUCACAGUAUGAAUCAGAAGAAACAGAAGCAGGUUUAUCAGACAGAAAGCUACAGGAUUAAGUCUGUAAACAAAGAGGCCAGAAAGUGCAAAGUGUCUGCUUUGCCUCCCUGGGAGCCACACAUGGCCCUUUCUCAUCCUGGUGAACAGGAUGUACACAAAUUCAAAGAAUGCUGCUCCUUCUAUCUUCCUUGCUCCUGCCUGGAAACCAGAGGAUACCUGAUGUGCAUCAGCUACCCCUAGGAUGGCAGAACAGGAAAAGAGGAGAAAAUGAGAAGUCACUGGCUACCUGUGCUGCAAGUCUCUCUUGAAUGAGACACAAACAUUCUGAAUUCAUAGAAGCCAUUCGGUAAGCUUUCCUAGAACUCAUAGCUGAACACAGGCCACUGGAGAUAGCUAUUUUAACAUCACAGGAGUGGCAAGUAUCAUACUUUGAACCUUGUUGCCUAAAAAUAGCCGAUUAAAAUGCAAAUCUUUUUGCAUUUGUGCUAGUUGAUUUUAUGUGUCAACUUAGCUGGGAUCCCAGAUAUUUGGUGAAACAUUAUUCUGGGUAUCUUUGAGGGUUUUUAGAAGAACAUAACAUUUGAAUCCAUAGACUGAUUGAAGCAGAUUACUUUCCUUCUUGUGGGUAGGCUUCCUCCAAUCAAUGGGAGACUUGAAUAGAAAAAGGAAUUCCUUCCGCCUGAAUGCACUAGCUAAGGCAUGGGUCUUUCCUGCCUUGGGGCUUGAAGUGAAAAAUCAGCUCUCGCGUCUCAAUCCUGCCAGCUCUCAGACUGAAACUUAUACUCUUGACUCUCCUGGUCCUCAGACUUUUGGACUCAGAUUGGAACUAUAUCUCCAGUGUUCAUGGCUUACUAACUAUAGAUCUUAGGACUUCUCAGCUUCCAUAACCACAUAGACAAAUCCUAUAAUACAUCUCACUCAAUUUCUCUCUUUAUCCUCUUUCUCUUCUUUACUUUCUCUCUCUCUCUCUCUCUUUCUCUCUCUCUCUCCAAAGACACACACACACACACACACACACACACACA
Molecule: non-coding RNA, 1584 nt
Organism: Oryctolagus cuniculus (rabbit)
Lineage: Eukaryota; Metazoa; Chordata; Mammalia; Lagomorpha; Leporidae
Source: RefSeq, a predicted model, not a curated record